AUGGCCGCCGAGGUGCUGGUCGGAUCCGAGCGCCGCGUGCUCAUCAGCGCCCUCCCCGCGCCACCGCCGCCCGACAGCCUGCUCGGCCGCCUCGACCAGAUCGACCUACGGCUGAGGCAGCUGGAGGAGGAGCGGCGGCCGUCCUCGGUCGCCGAGGGCGACGGCGCGCGCCCGGCGCCGCGGCACCAGCACAGCAAGUCCAUGCCGUCGGCGCUCCAGCCGCAGGACGCGCGCGACGUGAGGGGCACGCUCAUGGACCGCCUCAACCUGCUCGAGUCGCGCAUCAGGCAGCUCAGCUGCGAGCUCGACCUCGACGGCUCCGGGAGCGGCAAGGCUGCCGCGUCGUCCCUCCCGAUGCCGAUGCCGGUGCCGCGCCCGGCCGAGGACUGCGCGUGGUCCGAGCCGCCGCUGCCGGAGCCCGCCAUGCGCGCGCGCGCCGCGGCCGCGGCGGGAGGCGGCGCCGGGGCCAGCUGGAGCGCCGCGCAGAUCCUGCAGAGGGGCGCCCGCCAGCUCAACCGCAACAAACCCAGCCACGCAGCCAAGGUGAAGAAGCUGAAGGAGGCCAAGUGCGCGUGCGAGGAGGAGAAGAGGAAGGCGGAGCGCGCCAGUCGGCCGUCGGCUGGCCGGAGGUGGUUCACCGUCGGGUGCUAG
Molecule: ribosomal RNA, 651 nt
Filed under: Triticum aestivum (bread wheat)
Lineage: Eukaryota; Viridiplantae; Streptophyta; Magnoliopsida; Poales; Poaceae
Description: partial small subunit ribosomal RNA
Source: RNAcentral